Molecule: microRNA, 22 nt
Filed under: Parasteatoda tepidariorum (common house spider)
Lineage: Eukaryota; Metazoa; Arthropoda; Arachnida; Araneae; Theridiidae
Description: pte-miR-11942b-5p
Source: miRBase by way of RNAcentral
UGCUAAGACUGUCAGUGUUUGG